GUUUAUUCAUUUCCGUCCUUGUUAUUAUUUCUAUAUUCAAGUUACUCGCUGUAACCUCAGGCUAUAUAAGGUGUGGUAACUAGAGGAGAUGUAUCGAUCAACUAUUCAGCCAAAUAUUGGUUAUUAUCAAUACAACAAUACCUUUACAUACAUACACCAUUUACACAAGUUCCUCACUGUUCUUGGUGAUUUCAUUCUUUUUCCCAAUUUCUUGUUCUUGAUCCACUUCAAAUCCAUGGCUGAUCCAUCCGGGUAACUAUGAUACGGAUAAUGGUUGCUGCUACAAGGUAUAGCACCAGGGAUAGUAAGUCUAGUACCAGUGUGGUUUUCAGCUUGCAACCACCAUGGCUUCCACCCUUGUUUGUGAGCAUUUACAGAGCGCAGACUAUACCACUUCUGAUUAUUCUCAGCAUGGGUGAUACUAUCAUGACCAUCGGUCAAGCACUGCAGCAAUCAAACUUCUUUGCUCAGAAAAUUGUUGCAUUUGCGCUAUUUGAGCAAGAUAAAGUUUUCUUUGAGAACCUUUGGGAAUGGAGCUUUAGUGGCAUUAUCUCUCAGCAAGUUAAAUGGUGUCCAUUCAUUUUCUUAUACUCGACGGAACCAACUUUAACAUGGGACCCUGGAGUUCUUCGAACCAUUCAUGAGUACAACCGAGCAAUGAAUCUUCUUAUCAUUAACCUGGCUCUGAUACUCGGAUGGCCUUACUUUGAAAAGCAUGAAAAAUCUCAUGCGUUACAUUCAUGGGUUAGUGAUAGUUUCCCUCCCUGGACAUCACUUUUUGGUCACAUCAUGCAGUAUGUGGAGCACAAGAGCAGGGGCAGUUUAUUGAGAGAACUCAAGUACAUUUUUGUUACUGCUACAAGUCCAGGAAAGGAGGAUUAUAACCCUGGAGGCUGUGGUAUCUUCUUAGAAACAAACCCUGCAUUUUCAACCUUGCCGCUAUUUGUAUCACAUAUCUGGGUGUACAAGCAAUUUGACCCAGGAGAACCACCAUUGGCAUUGUUGUUCAACAUGGUGAUGCAAUCCGGGGAAUGCUAUGCUAUAGUGCAACAAAGGAAGUGUCAGAAGCUCAAACAUCUUGAAAUCAUAUGUUGGACAUCUCCAAUUUGGAUCAUAUCAUUUAUGCCUCCCUGAGGCUCAACAUUCUGCUCUCAACUCACUCUAGGGAGCACCACACUUGGGGACAAGUGUGAUUUCAAGAGGGAUGGAAUGUCAUGUACUAGUCAGAGGAGGACUUGCCGUGUCAUGGCAGAUUGAAUGGCCAAGAUAAAAAGGAAACCCAAUGGCAGAAGAUCUACGGCUGUCAACGUUUAUUCAUUUCCGUCCUUGUUAUUAUUUCUAUAUUCAAGUUACUCGCUGUAACCUCAGGCUAUAUAAGGUGUGGUAACUAGAGGAGAUGUAUCGAUCAACUAUUCAGCCAAAUAUUGGUUAUUAUCAAUACAACAAUACCUUUACAUACAUACACCAUAUACACAAGUUCCUCACUGUUCUUGGUGAUUUCAUACUUUUUCCCAAUUUCUUGUUCUUGAUCCACUUCAAAUCCAUGGCUGAUCCAUCCGGGAUCUGACACCACCACCCUUAGCCCGCAUAACCGUCAACUGGAGAAGCUGCUCUUCAGACAUACCCACUGGCAGUUGUAUCAUGGCUAGAGACUACCUCUCCAAAUCAAACUCGAGAACUGCAUCCAGACACCCACCAAGACGCCAGUAAAGGGAAUUCCCAACCAGCAGAGCCGACAUGCCCGUAAAACACACGGCAAAAAUACAUAUCGUGGUAUACGCAUCGAAUGGAAUCACUGCCGAGAUGAGAUUAUCCCAUACGCCGGUAUCUGAGGAGUAAACACAUGCAAGCACUCCCAUAUGUUGUUUGUCGACUUCGACGACCCCUACCAAGAUCACCUGAAAGUGCUGGACCUCGCCG
RNAcentral lists this long non-coding RNA (1920 nucleotides) under Triticum aestivum (bread wheat). RNAcentral's name for it is "long non-coding RNA (TAES_LNC012922)". The record is from RNAcentral. Lineage: Eukaryota; Viridiplantae; Streptophyta; Magnoliopsida; Poales; Poaceae.